Molecule: small RNA, 503 nt
Filed under: uncultured Glomus
Lineage: Eukaryota; Fungi; Glomeromycota; Glomeromycetes; Glomerales; Glomeraceae
Description: SSU rRNA
Rfam family: Eukaryotic small subunit ribosomal RNA
Source: RNAcentral
AGCAGCCGCGGUAAUUCCAGCUCCAAUAGCGUAUAUUAAAGUUGUUGCAGUUAAAAAGCUCGUAGUUGAAUUUCGGGGUCAGCAGGUUGGUCGUGCCAAUGGUAUGCACUGGCCUUGCUGAUUCCUCCCUCUUGAUGAGCCGUAAUGCCAUUAAUUUGGUGUUGCGGGGAAUCAGGACUGUUACUUUGAAAAAAUUAGAGUGUUUAAAGCAGGCAAGCGCUUGAAUACAUUAGCAUGGAAUAAUGAAAUAGGACGUUCGAUCCUAUUUUGUUGGUUUCUAGGAUUGACGUAAUGAUUAAUAGGGAUAGUUGGGGGCAUUAGUAUUCAAUUGUCAGAGGUGAAAUUCUUGGAUUUAUUGAAGACUAACUACUGCGAAAGCAUUUGCCAAGGAUGUUUUCAUUAAUCAAGAACGAAAGUUAGGGGAUCGAAGACGAUCAGAUACCGUCGUAGUCUUAGCCAUAAACUAUGCCGACUAGGGAUCGGAUGAUGUAAUUUUUUAAUGA